GACGAACGCUGACAGAAUGCUUAACACAUGCAAGUCGAGGGGUAAGGGGUCCUUGCACAAGGGCAACCAUGGGGGACGGGGGAGAAACGCGUAAGGGACUUCCUUCCGGGACUGGGAUAAAAGGGGGAAACUCUUGCAAGAACCGGAUAAGGGAAUGGGGCGGCAUGGCUUUAGGAGGAAAGGAGACGCCUGCGGAGAGCCUUGCGUCCUAUUAGCUAGUUGGUGAGGUAAUGGCUCACCAAGGGGAAGAUAGGUAGCCGGCCUGAGAGGGUGGACGGCCACAAGGGGACUGAGAUACGGCCCUUACUCCUACGGGAGGCAGCAGUGGGGAAUAUUGGACUAUGGGGGCAACCCUGAUCCAGCAAUUCUGUGUGCACGAAGAAGGUUUUCGGAUUGUAAAGUGCUUUCAGCAGGGAAGAAGUAAGUGACGGUACCUGCAGAAGAAGCGACGGCUAAAUACGUG
This 463-nucleotide ribosomal RNA is filed under the name uncultured bacterium. Its description in RNAcentral is "partial 16S ribosomal RNA". It matches the Rfam family "Bacterial small subunit ribosomal RNA", at positions 28 to 507 of the family's 1533-position model. The record is from RNAcentral.